GAUGAACGCUGGCGGCGUGCCUAAUACAUGCAAGUCGAGCGAACAGACGAGGAGCUUGCUCCUCUGACGUUAGCGGCGGACGGGUGAGUAACACGUGGAUAACCUACCUAUAAGACUGGGAUAACUUCGGGAAACCGGAGCUAAUACCGGAUAAUAUAUUGAACCGCAUGGUUCAAUAGUGAAAGACGGUUUUGCUGUCACUUAUAGAUGGAUCCGCGCCGCAUUAGCUAGUUGGUAAGGUAACGGCUUACCAAGGCAACGAUGCGUAGCCGACCUGAGAGGGUGAUCGGCCACACUGGAACUGAGACACGGUCCAGACUCCGACGGGAGGCAGCAGUAGGGAAUCUUCCGCACUGGGCGAAAGCCUGACGGAGCAACGCAGCGUGAGUGAUGAAGGUCUUCGGAUCGUAAAACUCUGUUAUUAGGGAAGAACAAAUGUGUAAGUAACUAUGCACGUCUUGACGGUACCUAAUCAGAAAGCCACGGCUAACUACGU
RNAcentral lists this ribosomal RNA (496 nucleotides) under uncultured bacterium. RNAcentral describes it as "partial 16S ribosomal RNA". It matches the Rfam family "Bacterial small subunit ribosomal RNA", at positions 28 to 506 of the family's 1533-position model. The record is from RNAcentral.